Molecule: ribosomal RNA, 611 nt
Filed under: uncultured Rhodococcus sp.
Lineage: Bacteria; Bacillati; Actinomycetota; Actinomycetes; Mycobacteriales; Nocardiaceae
Description: bacterial SSU rRNA
Rfam family: Bacterial small subunit ribosomal RNA
Source: RNAcentral
UGCUUACACAUGCAAGUCGAGCGGUAAGGCCUUUCGGGGUACACGAGCGGCGAACGGGUGAGUAACACGUGGGUGAUCUGCCCUGCACUUCGGGAUAAGCCUGGGAAACUGGGUCUAAUACCGGAUAUGACCUCAGGUUGCAUGACUUGGGGUGGAAAGAUUUAUCGGUGCAGGAUGGGCCCGCGGCCUAUCAGCUUGUUGGUGGGGUAAUGGCCUACCAAGGCGACGACGGGUAGCCGACCUGAGAGGGUGACCGGCCACACUGGGACUGAGACACGGCCCAGACUCCUACGGGAGGCAGCAGUGGGGAAUAUUGCACAAUGGGCGAAAGCCUGAUGCAGCGACGCCGCGUGAGGGAUGACGGCCUUCGGGUUGUAAACCUCUUUCAGCAGGGACGAAGCGCAAGUGACGGUACCUGCAGAAGAAGCACCGGCUAACUACGUGCCAGCAGCCGCGGUAAUACGUAGGGUGCAAGCGUUGUCCGGAACUACUGGGCGUAAAGAGUUCGUAGGCGGUUUGUCGCGUCGUUUGCGAAAACCAGCAGCUCAACUGCUGGCUUGCAGGCGAUACGGGCAGACUUGAGUACUGCAGGGGAGACUGGAAUUCCUGGU